GCUCAGGGUCAGGGCAGGCAGAGGUCAGUAAUCCAGGGCAGAGUCAGAAAGGUACAGAACGACAGGCAGGCUCAGGGUCAGGGCAGGCAGAGGUCAGUAAUCCAGGGCAGUGUCAGAAAGGUACAGAACGGCAGGCAGGCUCAGGGUCAGGGCAGGCAGAGGUCAGUAAUCCAGGGCAGUGUCAGAAAGGUACAGAACGACAGGCAGGCUCAGGGUCAGGGCAGGCAGAGGUCAGUAAUCCAGGGCAGAGUCAGAAAGGUACAGAACGACAGGCAGGCUCAGGGUCAGGGCAGGCAGAGGUCAGUAAUCCAGGGCAGAGUCAGAA
This 325-nucleotide long non-coding RNA is filed under the name Salmo salar (Atlantic salmon). Its description in RNAcentral is "lncRNA (ENSSSAG00000102295.1)". The record is from RNAcentral. Lineage: Eukaryota; Metazoa; Chordata; Actinopteri; Salmoniformes; Salmonidae.